CCCAAGACUCAACUAGGUGAACCACAAAAUUGCAACGAAGUUAUGUCCUUCCUAUGGAUACGAGUAAGGAACUCUUUGAAAUGGGCUGAAGGAGAGAAACUCGGGUUCUGUGUAUGCCUUGGCUACCCAAGCUCAAGUUUCUGGCAGGAAAUCAUAUCAAAAUUCAGUCAGGUCUUGCUCACCAUGGCUAUGGCUGAGAAGGUUGCGGCUACAAAAGACGUUCCAGUAAUAUUGAAAAUUGUGGAUUAUAAUGAAAUGAGCAUAACAAUUUUGAGUAGUCUAGAACCAUUUUGUAUUUUAUCUUUAGAGUACCUUGCAAGUUGUCAUGAUUAAAGAUCAUCCCUCCACAAAAGGUAAAGGUCACAACGAUUGGUUGUAAUGACUUUAUUGUUGUUUACAUAUACGAAAUUCAAUUGUCUAUUCACUCUUCUCUUGUUGAUCUUGCUUGUAAAAUAGAACACUUAAAUUAGAACAAUUCAAGA
Andrographis paniculata is the source of this 482-nucleotide long non-coding RNA. RefSeq lists it as uncharacterized. Lineage: Eukaryota; Viridiplantae; Streptophyta; Magnoliopsida; Lamiales; Acanthaceae. The transcript has 3 exons. The record is from RefSeq and is a predicted model, not a curated record.